Non-coding RNA from Pelodiscus sinensis (Chinese soft-shelled turtle), 630 nucleotides. The record is from RefSeq and is a predicted model, not a curated record. Lineage: Eukaryota; Metazoa; Chordata; Testudines; Trionychidae.
GUAAAGGAAAUAGCAUCUGAAGCCCCUGCGUUGCAAGAAGGAUGACCUCUGACCUGUCUCCUUCCCAAAAUUUUAAGCAGCAGCCAGGACUAAUAGACUACACAUGGGAAUGGAAACCAGGAUUUCUAAUAAUUGACUCUGCCAUGAAUUCUUGGGGUUUAAUGACAACUCAAGAUGACAUGCAGCGGAGAAUCAGCCCAACAAGAUUUUCACAUGUACAUUGUCAUUCCAUUUAUAUUUUGUGCCAGUUUUGUUUGAAUAUUUGAAUAAUAAUUUACUUAUAAGGAGAAUAUUCUGGAGAGACAUAGCUGAGCAAGUGGACAUGGAAUGCUAAAGCGAGAGCAGAUGCUUUUCCUUGGAGAGCAAGUUGAGAAAGGCACCCGAUCAUACUUACAUUAAAUCUUACCUCCUGAGACUGUGAGUGAUGAGGCCCAUAUCCUUGAUGAGGCAAUCAUCCAUCCCUGUGUCAUAAAAUAAAGCAGCAAAUAUGUCCAAUACCGCAAAAGAAAAUCAGUGCAGCUCCACAGUCUUUUGCCGAAUGCCUCAGUGACUUUCAUUCAAAACAAAUAGAAUUCAUUAAUCUGCCCAGUGAACUUGCUGAUGAACCUACAAAACAAAUCUCAUCUAGUC